This 1895-nucleotide long non-coding RNA is filed under the name Nicotiana tabacum (common tobacco). RNAcentral's name for it is "long non-coding RNA (NTAB_LNC004426)". Lineage: Eukaryota; Viridiplantae; Streptophyta; Magnoliopsida; Solanales; Solanaceae. The record is from RNAcentral.
CUCACUCAUCUUUUCACUCAGAAACUCUCUGAACCCAAAUCCUAGCGCCGCCCUAAAUUCCUCACCAUAUCCGGUGGCGGUGCCUUCUUAAACCACCUCCAAAAUUAUACCUCAUAACCCCCAGUCCUUCCUCUUCCUAAACCCAAAACAAUUCCCUUCAAAUCCCUUUCCAUCACCUCGAAUCUUAGAUCUAAGGUCGAAAACCCUAAAUUCCCAAUUUUACCUUGACCGCGGAUCUAGAGCAUGCAAAGCUAAGAGGGUCGAUUUUGCACAAAACUAACGUUGCCCGUUUGUUCUUGACAAGAACACAUGGUUGACAUCAAUUUUGGGCUCAAAUGGGAAUGGCCAGAGUUUCUGAAAGUCAAGUAUUAGGUAUUUUUCUUUUAUUUUUUCCCCCUUUGCCUAUUUCUUUGAUUUUUCUUUUCUUCUACGUUUUUACCUUUUCUUCCACUUUCCUCUAAUCAAGUUUACUCAUCUUCCUUUUUAUCCUUGUUUUCUAUUUUAUUUUUUCUUUGUUUUCCGACUCUUCUCUUCAAUCUUUAACCUCUGCUCAUCGAAUAUUUUUUGGUUUAUCAUGUGUUCCAUAGGUUAAUUGUCCAGUUUGUUUGAUUAGGAUAAAUUCUUUAAAGUUAGAGCAAUCAUUGGGCCUGCUGUUUUCAGGUUGUUACUUGUUUUAAUUGUUGAGGCAUUUUAGCAUGGUUUGGAUUGAAAGUCAUCAUAGUGCAUUUUUAAUUAUGCUAUUUAGUCGGUUUCAUUUUGGAAAAAACUCUUGUUUGGGUCUUUUGGGUUAUUUGGCCCAUCUGUGUUUGGGCAGAAGUUGCCCGAAAUUUCCCUUUGAGUUUUGGUUCAGUAGUUGACAAGUAAAUACAGGGGUGUUAAGGGUUAUUUUGGUCAUUCUAGCUUGAUGGAAUCUGGGCUAACCAACUAGGAGUUUUCCAGGAAAGUGGGUAAUGGGACUGACUUAACAAACUAACUAGAAAAUCAGGGUCUAAGUUGAAAAAAUAAAAAUUGGGGAAGGGGUAAUUGGUAAAACUAGAAAUCAUUUCUGCUGCCAAAAAGGCUCUCUAUAAGAAGUUUGUUUUCCUUCAUUGUCAAGGCAGACUUUAGAGAUUACAAUACUGAAAACUGAGAAAACGGCUGAGCUCAAAAACACUGAAAAUCUCUUGCAUUUUUGGUAGAAAUUGGCUUAUUUCUGCUGUUUAUCUUCAUAGCUUGAAACUUUCUCAAGAAUUUCUGGUUUAUUAUGGGUUCAAAAUGAUUUAAAAGAACUGAGUAUUGCUAUUGUUUGGCUGUGUUGGUGCUGCUGUUUUCUCCAAACUUCAAGCUUACUUUCCUUGUUGUUUUUGUUGUAAUCAGGUACCCUUUUGGACCCUAUGAAUGUAUGAAAUUCACGUUUGAAGCCAUGUGAUCAAUUUGAGUACUUAUGGAUGAAUGGAAAUUUGCUGAAUGUUAAGCCUUGUAUUUUUGAAGAUUAUUCAUGUUUCUUUUUCCUUUAUCGAAUUAGUUUAUUACAUGAUCUAUUAUAGUUAUGUUAUUGACAGCCCCUUUGGGGUUGUGUUUAGAGUUUGGUUUAGUCACAUUGGCUUUAAUUGAGUUGAACUACUUUCGUCAUGUAUUUAAUGUGGACUAUUGCAGCCUAGGUUGAUUUAGAUGAGUAGUGUCUUCUUUUUGUGAGAUUUUGAUUGAGUUAUUCUGAGCUAGUAGUGAUAAUCAUUCAGUCCACAAUGAGCUCUUCUCAUAGUGCUGCUCUUUUAAAUGUUGGUUUUAAUAUCCAAAACAAAUAUAGGAACCACUGUUGUAUUUUGAUAUCUACUUUGGAUGAUUAAAGUACUCUACUGUUAGAUUCACUAAGUGUAUGAGUUCAACAUUGAUGAGUAGUAGCUUUGAGUUUCAAA